AUAGCGUAUAUUAAAGUUGUUGCGGUUAAAAAGCUCGUAGUUGAACCUUGGGCCUAGCCGGCCGGUCCGCCUCACCGCGUGCACUGGCUCGGUUGGGCCUUUCCUUCUGGGGAACCCCAUGCCCUUCACUGGGUGUGGUGGGGAACCAGGACUUUUACUCUGAAAAAAUUAGAGCGUUUAAAGAAGGCCUAUGCUCGAAUAUAUUAGCAUGGAAUAAUAGAAUAGGACGUGUGGUUCUAUUUUGUUGGUUUCUAGAGCCGCCGUAAUGAUUAAUAGGGACAGUCGGGGGCAUCAGUAUUCAAUUGUCAGAGGUGAAAUUCUUGGAUUUAUUGAAGACUAACUACUG
Molecule: ribosomal RNA, 346 nt
Filed under: uncultured eukaryote
Lineage: Eukaryota
Description: SSU rRNA
Rfam family: Eukaryotic small subunit ribosomal RNA
Source: RNAcentral